UUCUCUCUGGCACUCUUCCUAAAUCCCUAGAAAGAAAUAAUAGAGUGAGUCGCUCACGCCUCACGCGCAUUGAAAGCAAUCGAGGUGCAGUAUUUGAAGCAGAUCUGAAAGAAGGGGUGGAAGAAAUCGCGUGUUGAAUUGGGUUGUUCAGAUGCGGCAUGUGAGAUGAGGAAGAAAACCUAUUCUUUCCACUUCUCACUCUCACUCUCUCUUUCUCUCUUCCUUGUUGUGCUUUUGCAGUCGCUCUGUGACUCUGAAGGAAUCUCUCACAAUGGGCCUCUCACCGACGCGGAAGCGAGCUACAUCAAGCAGCGCCAGCUUCUGUACUACAAGGAUGAGUUCGGUGACAGAGGAGAAAAAGUAACCGUAGAUCCCUCUUUCCGCUUCGAGAACGACCGUUUGAGAAACGCAUACAUAGCGUUACAGGCAUGGAAGCAGGCCAUUCUCUCUGAUCCCAAAAACCUCACGCUCGACUGGGUGGGGCCCGAUGUCUGCAACUACACCUACGUCUUCUGCGCUCAAGCACUUGACAACCCUA
RNAcentral lists this long non-coding RNA (538 nucleotides) under Vigna radiata. Its description in RNAcentral is "long non-coding RNA (VRAD_LNC000182)". The record is from RNAcentral. Lineage: Eukaryota; Viridiplantae; Streptophyta; Magnoliopsida; Fabales; Fabaceae.